RNAcentral lists this ribosomal RNA (1352 nucleotides) under uncultured bacterium. Its description in RNAcentral is "bacterial SSU rRNA". It matches the Rfam family "Bacterial small subunit ribosomal RNA", at positions 28 to 1381 of the family's 1533-position model. The record is from RNAcentral.
AUUGAACGCUGGCGGCAUGCCUUACACAUGCAAGUCGAACGGCAGCACGGAGCUUGCUCUGGUGGCGAGUGGCGAACGGGUGAGUAAUAUAUCGGAACGUACCCUAGAGUGGGGGAUAACGUAGCGAAAGUUACGCUAAUACCGCAUACGAUCUAAGGAUGAAAGUGGGGGAUCGCAAGACCUCAUGCUCGUGGAGCGGCCGAUAUCUGAUUAGCUAGUUGGUAGGGUAAAAGCCUACCAAGGCAUCGAUCAGUAGCUGGUCUGAGAGGACGACCAGCCACACUGGAACUGAGACACGGUCCAGACUCCUACGGGAGGCAGCAGUGGGGAAUUUUGGACAAUGGGCGAAAGCCUGAUCCAGCAAUGCCGCGUGAGUGAAGAAGGCCUUCGGGUUGUAAAGCUCUUUUGUCAGGGAAGAAACGGUGAGAGCUAAUAUCUCUUGCUAAUGACGGUACCUGAAGAAUAAGCACCGGCUAACUACGUGCCAGCAGCCGCGGUAAUACGUAGGGUGCAAGCGUUAAUCGGAAUUACUGGGCGUAAAGCGUGCGCAGGCGGUUUUGUAAGUCUGAUGUGAAAUCCCCGGGCUCAACCUGGGAAUUGCAUUGGAGACUGUCAGGCUAGAAUCUGGCAGAGGGGGGUAGAAUUCCACGUGUAGCAGUGAAAUGCGUAGAUAUGUGGAGGAACACCGAUGGCGAAGGCAGCCCCCUGGGUCAAGAUUGACGCUCAUGCACGAAAGCGUGGGGAGCAAACAGGAUUAGAUACCCUGGUAGUCCACGCCCUAAACGAUGUCUACUAGUUGUCGGGUCUUAAUUGACUUGGUAACGCAGCUAACGCGUGAAGUAGACCGCCUGGGGAGUACGGUCGCAAGAUUAAAACUCAAAGGAAUUGACGGGGACCCGCACAAGCGGUGGAUGAUGUGGAUUAAUUCGAUGCAACGCGAAAAACCUUACCUACCCUUGACAUGGCUGGAAUCCUUGAGAGAUCAGGGAGUGCUCGAAAGAGAACCAGUACACAGGUGCUGCAUGGCUGUCGUCAGCUCGUGUCGUGAGAUGUUGGGUUAAGUCCCGCAACGAGCGCAACCCUUGUCAUUAGUUGCUACGAAAGGGCACUCUAAUGAGACUGCCGGUGACAAACCGGAGGAAGGUGGGGAUGACGUCAAGUCCUCAUGGCCCUUAUGGGUAGGGCUUCACACGUCAUACAAUGGUACAUACAGAGCGCCGCCAACCCGCGAGGGGGAGCUAAUCGCAGAAAGUGUAUCGUAGUCCGGAUUGUAGUCUGCAACUCGACUGCAUGAAGUUGGAAUCGCUAGUAAUCGCGGAUCAGCAUGUCGCGGUGAAUACGUUCCCGGGUCU